Molecule: ribosomal RNA, 451 nt
Filed under: uncultured bacterium
Lineage: Bacteria
Description: partial 16S ribosomal RNA
Rfam family: Bacterial small subunit ribosomal RNA
Source: RNAcentral
GUGGGAAAUAUUGGACAAUGGGGGGAACCCUGAUCCAGCCAUGCCGCGUGUGUGAAGAAGGCCUUUUGGUUGUAAAGCACUUUAAGCGAGGAGGAGGCUACCGAGAUUAAUACUCUUGGAUAGUGGACGUUACUCGCAGAAUAAGCACCGGCUAACUCUGUGCCAGCAGCCGCGGUAAUACAGAGGGUGCAAGCGUUAAUCGGAUUUACUUGGCGUAAAGCGCGCGUAGGUGGCCAAUUAAGUCAAAUGUGAAAUCCCCGAGCUUAACUUGGGAAUUGCAUUCGAUACUGGUUGGCUAGAGUAUGGGAGAGGAUGGUAGAAUUCCAGGUGUAGCGGUGAAAUGCGUAGAGAUCUGGAGGAAUACCGAUGGCGAAGGCAGCCAUCUGGCCUAAUACUGACACUGAGGUGCGAAAGCAUGGGGAGCAAACAGGAUUAGAUACCCCGGUAGUCC